CCUACGGGAGGCAGCAGUGAGGAAUAUUGGUCAAUGGACGAGAGUCUGAACCAGCCAAGUAGCGUGAAGGAUGACUGCCCUAUGGGUUGUAAACUUCUUUUAUAUGGGAAUAAAAUGUUCCACGUGUGGGAUUUUGUAUGUACCAUAUGAAUAAGGAUCGGCUAACUCCGUGCCAGCAGCCGCGGUAAUACGGAGGAUCCGAGCGUUAUCCGGAUUUAUUGGGUUUAAAGGGAGCGUGGGGGGAUUGUUAAGUCAGUUGGGAAAGUUUGCGGCUCAACCGUAAAAUUGCAGUUGAAACUGGAAGUUUUGAGUACAGAAGAGGGGGGAGGAAUCCGGGGUGUGGCGGGGAAAUGGUUAGA
This 359-nucleotide ribosomal RNA is filed under the name uncultured bacterium. Its description in RNAcentral is "partial 16S ribosomal RNA". It matches the Rfam family "Bacterial small subunit ribosomal RNA", at positions 338 to 694 of the family's 1533-position model. The record is from RNAcentral.